Long non-coding RNA from Catharus ustulatus (Swainson's thrush), 479 nucleotides. RefSeq lists it as uncharacterized. Lineage: Eukaryota; Metazoa; Chordata; Aves; Passeriformes; Turdidae. The transcript has 5 exons. The record is from RefSeq and is a predicted model, not a curated record.
GAAUCAGACUGUGGAUUUCUCUGUGAAUACCCAGGGUGCACGGUUCCGUGUUGGCACCAGGCCUAGAGUAGACUGAUCUCAGCUCUCGCUCCUGUCCAGCUCAUCAUGGGUGCAAGUACAGCCAUUGUUUUAGCCACUGCUUUCCUCGUUGUGGUAUUCCUCAUUUUACUGACAGUUUUAGCGGUGGUAACGGAUUCAAGUGAUCUCUCUGGGGAUAUAUUUCCUUCUUUUUUGAGUCUGGGGGAAAACAAAUGGCCUGACUCUGUUCUGCAAGCAUUAGCCUUUCACAUGCUGUUCUUUCGAGGAAACGAUGACUACUCCCUGUGAAGAAAAACACAUUUCCUUCCUUCCAAGCAACCUGGCUUGUGUCUUCCCACUGUGGGAAUUGAAAAUCGCCUUCUGACCCUCAGCUGCACAAUUAAGAUAUUUAGAUUGCUUUGAGCACUAAAUUAUUUUAAAUCUUUAAUAAAAGCGCUAUG